GUGUGCGUAGCUCAGUGGUUAAAGCGCUUGCCGGAAGGCCUAGGCUCCGUUGAGAGCGAGUCUACUCGCUCUCAAUGGACCAAACUUCGAAGCGAGAAUCGCGUGUUCGAUCCACGCCGCGUCA
Molecule: non-coding RNA, 124 nt
Organism: Epicoccum nigrum
Lineage: Eukaryota; Fungi; Ascomycota; Dothideomycetes; Pleosporales; Didymellaceae
Source: the annotation of a GenBank genome assembly